UUAAGGAGAAAGUUCUGGAAUCCAAGUCAGAGGGCAUGAAUUCCAGUCCUUGCUCUUCUCUACGAAGACACUUGACCUCAGGAAGCCACUUCCCCAAGCCUCGAUUUCCUCCUUGCCACAAUGAGAAAACAGGACUUGGGUGAACUCUGGGACACCCUCCAGAAACCCAGGCAUGAAACAAAAUAGCAUGAGGAGAGAGCAAGCGGAAAAGAAUGAAGUAGGGUGCAAAUGUACGGUCCUGCAAUGCUUCAUUUACACCACGUCCUCGGGGAAUGGGCUGUUCCACAUGGAUGUGCUCUGGGUUCAGGUUGCCUGAGGUCCACUGGGUGGGUGUGAAAAGCUAUUUUGACUGAACAUCUACCGUGUGCCAGAUGCUGUACUCAGUACAUCGAGUAAAUCAUCUUUGCUCGUCCACUACACGGCCCUAUUAAGGAAACGGAAUCCACCUCCACAGUCACACGGCCAACAAGCAGUUCUGGAAGCCGGAGCCAUCUCUCUCGGGCCUGAGUCCUCUGCACUCUGCUCUGUUCAUGUUUAUUAAUGUAUGAAAAUGCCCAAAGUUCACAUUCUGAAAAAAAAUAAAUAAAUUCUAAAAGUGAAA
Molecule: long non-coding RNA, 601 nt
Organism: Marmota monax (woodchuck)
Lineage: Eukaryota; Metazoa; Chordata; Mammalia; Rodentia; Sciuridae
Exons: 2
Source: RefSeq, a predicted model, not a curated record